Molecule: ribosomal RNA, 328 nt
Filed under: uncultured eukaryote
Lineage: Eukaryota
Description: partial 18S ribosomal RNA
Rfam family: Eukaryotic small subunit ribosomal RNA
Source: RNAcentral
CCCUUAGACGUUCUGGGCCGCACGCGCGCUACACUGACGGAGCCAGCGAGUAUAAACCUUGGCCGAGAGGUCUGGGAAAUCUUGUGAAACUCCGUCGUGCUGGGGAUAGAGCAUUGUAAUUAUUGCUCUUCAACGAGGAAUUCCUAGUAAGUGCAAGUCAUCAGCUUGCGUUGAUUACGUCCCUGCCCUUUGUACACACCGCCCGUCGCUACUACCGAUUGAAUGGCUUAGUGAGGCUUCCGGAUUGGUUUAGAGAAGGGGGCAACUCCAUCUUGGAACCGAGAAGCUAGUCAAACUUGGUCAUUUAGAGGAAGUAAAAGUCGUAACA